RNAcentral lists this ribosomal RNA (468 nucleotides) under uncultured bacterium. RNAcentral describes it as "partial 16S ribosomal RNA". It matches the Rfam family "Bacterial small subunit ribosomal RNA", at positions 28 to 507 of the family's 1533-position model. The record is from RNAcentral.
GACGAACGCUGGCGGCGUGCUUAACACAUGCAAGUCGAACGGAAAGGCCCUGCUUUUGCGGGGUGCUCGAGUGGCGAACGGGUGAGUAACACGUGAGUAACCUGCCCUUGACUUUGGGAUAACUUCAGGAAGCUGGGGCUAAUACCGGAUAGGAGCUCCUGCUGCAUGGUGGGGGUUGGAAAGUUUCGGCGGUUGGGGAUGGACUCGCGGCUUAUCAGCUUGUUGGUGGGGUAGUGGCUUACCAAGGCUUUGACGGGUAGCCGGCCUGAGAGGGUGACCGGCCACAUUGGGACUGAGAUACGGCCCAGACUCCUACGGGAGGCAGCAGUGGGGAAUAUUGCACAAUGGGCGGAAGCCUGAUGCAGCAACGCCGCGUGCGGGAUGACGGCCUUCGGGUUGUAAACCGCUUUCGCCUGUGACGAAGCGUGAGUGACGGUAAUGGGUAAAGAAGCACCGGCUAACUACGUG